UUUUGUUGUUUUCGAUCCAUUAUAGUGAUUAUUCUUUCUGAUGCUGAAAUUGUUCCAUUUUUUACUUCAUCCAGUUGGUUCCUGUAUCUGAUAAGAUUCAAAAAGUCUUUGAUAGUUUCCUUCCUCCCUUUUUUUUCUUUCUAUUUAUUUAAAUUUUAAAGACUUGUUUCCCAGUCAGUGGCUCCUUAUGGACCCAAGUUGUCUUACUUUCUGACACAAAGGAUAUCCCUGGAACAUCUUGUACAUUUUCUUUUCUUUCUUUUUUUUUUUUUUUUAGAUGGAGUCUCGCCCUGUCACCCAGGCUGGAGUGUCAUCUCGGCUCACUGCAACCUCCGCCUCCCAGGUUCAAGCGAUUCUCCUGCCUCAGUCUCCCAAGUAGCUGGGAUUACAGGCAUGCAUCACCACGCCUUGCUAAGUUGUUGUAUCUUUAGAAGAGAUGGGGUUUCACCAUGUCGGCCAGGAGCUUAAAAUCAAUGUUUGCCAUAAUCAUCAUCAUUGGGAAGUGACCACUACAUUCUCUCAUCCAUCCAUUCAUCUAUUAGCAUUUAUUAAGAAUCUACUACAUCUCUGAGACGUUCUUCACAGCUGUACAGCAGUCUCUCCUACAAUGCCCCUCAGCAUGUUGAAAGGAACUGCGCUUCUAAAAUCCGCAGUAAAGAAUCUGAAUCCUUUGACCUGUGAAAUUUCCCACAAUCUGGAUGUUGCUGAUGAAGUAUUCUCGGUGGAGUUCAACGUGUUCUGGACUUCCUAUGAUGUAGCAGCUGGAUCCCAAGGAUGA
This 778-nucleotide long non-coding RNA is filed under the name Piliocolobus tephrosceles (Ugandan red Colobus). Its description in RNAcentral is "lncRNA (ENSPTEG00000001303.1)". The record is from RNAcentral. Lineage: Eukaryota; Metazoa; Chordata; Mammalia; Primates; Cercopithecidae.